This 486-nucleotide ribosomal RNA is filed under the name uncultured bacterium. RNAcentral describes it as "partial 16S ribosomal RNA". It matches the Rfam family "Bacterial small subunit ribosomal RNA", at positions 30 to 507 of the family's 1533-position model. The record is from RNAcentral.
AUUGAACGCUGGCGGCAUGCCUUACACAUGCAAGUCGAACGGCAGCACGGGUGCUUGCACCUGGUGGCGAGUGGCGAACGGGUGAGUAAUACAUCGGAACAUGUCCUGUAGUGGGGGAUAGCCCGGCGAAAGCCGGAUUAAUACCGCAUACGAUCUACGGAUGAAAGCGGGGGACCUUCGGGCCUCGCGCUAUAGGGUUGGCCGAUGGCUGAUUAGCUAGUUGGUGGGGUAAAGGCCUACCAAGGCGACGAUCAGUAGCUGGUCUGAGAGGACGACCAGCCACACUGGGACUGAGACACGGCCCAGACUCCUACGGGAGGCAGCAGUGGGGAAUUUUGGACAAUGGGCGAAAGCCUGAUCCAGCAAUGCCGCGUGUGUGAAGAAGGCCUUCGGGUUGGAAAGCACUUUUGUCCGGAAAGAAAUGCUUGGCCCUAAUACGGUCGGGGGAUGACGGUACCGGAAGAAUAAGCACCGGCUAACUACGUG